RNAcentral lists this ribosomal RNA (171 nucleotides) under Sicyopterus lagocephalus. Its description in RNAcentral is "partial 12S rRNA". The record is from RNAcentral. Lineage: Eukaryota; Metazoa; Chordata; Actinopteri; Gobiiformes; Gobiidae.
CAGCCACCGCGGUUAUACGAGAGGCCCAAGUUGAUAAAUGCCGGCGUAAAAAGUGGUUAGUACUAUAUUUUACUAAAGCCAAACAUCUUCAAAACUGUCAUACGUUCUCGAAGACAGGAAGCUCUUCUACGAAAGUGGCUUUAAAUUAGACACACCACGAAAGCUAGGAAA